This 260-nucleotide ribosomal RNA is filed under the name uncultured bacterium. RNAcentral's name for it is "partial 16S ribosomal RNA". It matches the Rfam family "Bacterial small subunit ribosomal RNA", at positions 29 to 314 of the family's 1533-position model. The record is from RNAcentral.
AGCGAACGCUGGCGGCAGGCUUAACACAUGCAAGUCGAGCGGGCGUAGCAAUACGUCAGCGGCAGACGGGUGAGUAACGCGUGGGAACGUACCUUUUGGUUCGGAACAACCCAGGGAAACUUGGGCUAAUACCGGAUAAGCCCUUACGGGGAAAGAUUUAUCGCCAAAAGAUCGGCCCGCGUCUGAUUAGCUUGUUGGUGAGGUAACGGCUCACCAAGGCGACGAUCAGUAGCUGGUCUGAGAGGAUGAUCAGCCACAUU